AUAUGCCAUUUCUGAGACACAAU
This 23-nucleotide non-coding RNA is filed under the name Cricetulus griseus (Chinese hamster). The record is from RNAcentral. Lineage: Eukaryota; Metazoa; Chordata; Mammalia; Rodentia; Cricetidae.